This 87-nucleotide transfer RNA is filed under the name Lonepinella koalarum. It matches the Rfam family "tRNA". Rfam says of the family: Transfer RNA (tRNA) molecules are approximately 80 nucleotides in length. Their secondary structure includes four short double-helical elements and three loops (D, anti-codon, and T loops). Lineage: Bacteria; Pseudomonadati; Pseudomonadota; Gammaproteobacteria; Pasteurellales; Pasteurellaceae. The record is from Rfam by way of RNAcentral.
GGUAAGGUGUCCGAGUGGUUGAAGGAGCACGCCUGGAAAGCGUGUAUGUGGGAAACUGCAUCAAGGGUUCAAAUCCCUUCCUUACCG